UACGGAGGGUGCGAGCGUUAUUCGGAAUUACUGGGCGUAAAGGGCGCGUAGGUGGCCUUGUAAGUCAAAGGUGGAAUUCCACAGCUCAACUGUGGAACUGCCUUUGAUACUGCAAGGCUUGAGUCAGGUAGAGGGAGGCGGAAUUCCCGGUGUAGCGGUGAAAUGCGUAGAUAUCGGGAGGAAGGCCGGUGGCGAAGGCGGCCUCCUGGGCCUGCACUGACGCUGAGGCGCGAAAGCGUGGGGAGCAAACAGG
RNAcentral lists this ribosomal RNA (253 nucleotides) under uncultured microorganism. RNAcentral describes it as "partial 16S ribosomal RNA". It matches the Rfam family "Bacterial small subunit ribosomal RNA", at positions 524 to 776 of the family's 1533-position model. The record is from RNAcentral.